GUUUGAAGGCUGUAACGAUCACAGCACGAGAAGGGUCUGCCGCAUCAAGGAUCAAAGGGGGAAAAAAGGAGGAGAUGAGGGGGGAACCAUAAAGAAAACAACCCACGAUGCCUUUCUAAUUAUGAUCACAUGGAAGACAGACCCAGUGCUAAUGGCUCUUCCUGAAUGCCAGCCUACACUUUUCUCAUUCAUACACCCAUCAUAUCAGCUGUCUCUCAGCUGAAGAGAUUUUCUCUUCCCGUUCCAUCUUUCACACCAGCAGCCCACCCUUCACCAGGCUCAAGUGAUGAAUAUCUACCUGAAACACAGUGGUUAUCAGCACUGUGAAGAGUGGCCCACAGCCAGGCACUGACCUCAACACAUGCAAGGAUUCACAGCAACACAGAAAGCAAUGCUCACAGACACAACGUGUGACUGAUACCUACCUCCUCCUUGCAGAAAAAGGCAAAGUCAUACUGGAUUCAAAGCAGUAACACAAGGCAAAGGUUUACUGGCAAGAAGAGACUGGUUAAAUGAAUUUCAUCAGGGUCUUGAGGAAGGGGUAAGGUGUGAUUAAUUAAUGAAAGCACACGCUGAAAUGGAUUAUUACGGUGAUCAGACAUUGCAGUCAUUUACUCUCGACAGCACUUUUUUUUAUGAGCCAUAUUUAUAUAUUCAGUAAUUAAAUAUAAACUGCAGGGUGUCACAAAACAAGGAAAGAAGACGUGAAGCCCAGACGGUCCCUGGCUUACAUUUCUCAUCACUGUACCUUCCACUUCACCUCUCAUUUUACACACUGCUUAAAGCAGUAAGAGAAGUUAAUUGCAGACUCCAUACUUGUGUGAAACUUCAAACCUACUCCAACUUAGUAGAAAACCAACCAAACAAAAACCACAACUAAAGGAAAACACAAACCAAAGGGGGGAAGAGGAAAAAAAAAAUGCUGAAAGGCAGACAGGAGAAGGGAGAUAUACAGACAUUUUGGACUGACGGAACCUGGGAAGUAAGGACAGAAUCACAAAAUGGUUGAGAGGUUGGAAGGGACAUCUGAAGGUCACCUGCCAACCCCCUGCAUGAACAGGGCCAUCCAGAGCGUAUCCAGGCAGCUUCUGACAUCUCAAAGGACAUUAAAACUCCACAAGCUCUCUGCACAGCCGGUGCUCCAUCAUCCACAGAGUAAAGAAGUGCUUCCUGAAGUUCAGACAGAGUCUUCUGUGUUCCAGUUUGUGCCUUCUGCCUCUUAUCCUAACGCUGAGCGCCACUGAAGAUAGCACAGCUCUCUUCUUUGCAUUCUCCCUUCAGGUAUUUAUAUACAUGUAGAUGAAAUCCCCCCCCCCCAAACGUCCUCUUCUCCAGGAUGAACAGUCCUAAAGACAAAGCAAACAUC
Molecule: long non-coding RNA, 1366 nt
Organism: Gallus gallus (chicken)
Lineage: Eukaryota; Metazoa; Chordata; Aves; Galliformes; Phasianidae
Exons: 2
Source: RefSeq, a predicted model, not a curated record